GACGAACGCUGGCGGCGUGCUUAAUACAUGCAAGUCGAGCGGUAAGGCCCUUUCGGGGGUACACGAGCGGCGAACGGGUGAGUAACACGUGGGUGACCUGCCCUCAGCUCUGGGAUAAGCCUGGGAAACCGGGUCUAAUACUGGAUAUGACUCCAUGACGCAUGUUGUGGGGUGGAAAGCCUUGUGCGGCUGAGGAUGGGCCCGCGGCCUAUCAGCUUGUUGGUGGGGUGANGGCCUACCAAGGCGACGACGGGUAGCCGGCCUGAGAGGGCGACCGGCCACACUGGGACUGAGACACGGCCCAGACUCCUACGGGAGGCAGCAGUGGGGAAUCUUGCGCAAUGGGCGAAAGCCUGACGCAGCGACGCCGCGUGAGGGAUGACGGCCU
RNAcentral lists this ribosomal RNA (388 nucleotides) under uncultured bacterium. RNAcentral's name for it is "bacterial SSU rRNA". It matches the Rfam family "Bacterial small subunit ribosomal RNA", at positions 28 to 417 of the family's 1533-position model. The record is from RNAcentral.